RNAcentral lists this ribosomal RNA (251 nucleotides) under uncultured archaeon. Its description in RNAcentral is "partial 16S ribosomal RNA". It matches the Rfam family "Archaeal small subunit ribosomal RNA", at positions 748 to 998 of the family's 1478-position model. The record is from RNAcentral.
UAACUGUAACGAUGCGGACUUGGUGUUGGGGUGGCUUUGAGCUGCUUCAGUGCCGAAGGGAAGCUGUUAAGUCCGCCGCCUGGGAAGUACGGUCGCAAGACUGAACUUAAAGGAAUUGGCGGGGGAGGCACCACAACACGUGGAGCCUGCGGUUUAAUUGGACUCAACGCCGGAAAUACUCACCGGAUAGGACAGACAUAUGANAGUCGGGCUGAAGACUCUACUUGAUGAUCUGAGAGGAGGUGCAUGGC